RNAcentral lists this long non-coding RNA (417 nucleotides) under Brassica rapa (field mustard). RNAcentral's name for it is "long non-coding RNA (BRAP_LNC005637)". Lineage: Eukaryota; Viridiplantae; Streptophyta; Magnoliopsida; Brassicales; Brassicaceae. The record is from RNAcentral.
GCCCGUUAGCUUAUUCGGAAAUAGCCUAUUUUAAAAGCCUAAGGCUAAUAGAAAAGAGGGUUGGCGAAUUGUGAAUAAUGAUGUUCUUAGAUGGAAAUACCAAACAAAGUUUUUUUUUUUUUUUUGAACACCCAGGCGAAGUAUUGUUGUAAAAUACCAAAAAAAGUAUUGUUGUAAAAUUUAAGCUCGUAAUCCAUUUCUCAAAUUACCUUCUUGAAGUGCUCAAAAGCCUCUCUUUUUUUUUUUGAACAACUCUCAAAAGCCUCCUAAUAAACCUUUUAUUGAUACACUGUCCCUGAGCUUUCUUGGACUAGACAGGAGCCAAAUGUUCCAGAGCUCUUUAGCUUUCACGGUGAAAUUUAACAAUUAGACAACGGUUUUCAGGAAAACCCAUAUUAUGGAUUAGUGAAUUAAAAA